RNAcentral lists this ribosomal RNA (878 nucleotides) under marine metagenome. RNAcentral's name for it is "bacterial SSU rRNA". It matches the Rfam family "Bacterial small subunit ribosomal RNA", at positions 241 to 1137 of the family's 1533-position model. The record is from RNAcentral.
UUAGUUUGUUGGUGGGGUAAUGGCCUACCAAGACUGUGAUCAAUAGCUGAUUUGAGAGGAUGAUCAGCCACAUUGGGACUGAGACACGGCCCAAACUCCUACGGGAGGCAGCAGUGGGGAAUCUUGCACAAUGGAGGAAACUCUGAUGCAGCGAUGCCGCGUGAGUGAAGAAGGCCUUUGGGUUGUAAAGCUCUUUCGUCGGGGAAGAAAAUGACUGUACCCGAAUAAGAAGGUCCGGCUAACUUCGUGCCAGCAGCCGCGGUAAUACGAAGGGACCUAGCGUAGUUCGGAAUUACUGGGCUUAAAGAGUUCGUAGGUGGUUGAAAUAGUUGGUGGUGAAAUCCCAGAGCUUAACUCUGGAACUGCCAUCAAAACUUUUCAGCUAGAGUAUGAUAGAGGAAAGCAGAAUUUCUAGUGUAGAGGUGAAAUUCGUAGAUAUUAGAAAGAAUACCAAUUGCGAAGGCAGCUUUCUGGAUCAUUACUGACACUGAGGAACGAAAGCAUGGGUAGCGAAGAGGAUUAGAUACCCUCGUAGUCCAUGCCGUAAACGAUGUGUGUUAGACGUUGGAAAUUUAUUUUCAGUGUCGCAGCGAAAGCGAUAAACACACCGCCUGGGGAGUACGACCGCAAGGUUAAAACUCAAAUGAAUUGACGGGGACCCGCACAAGUAGUGGAGCAUGUGGUUUAAUUCGAAGAUACGCGCAGAACCUUACCAACACUUGACAUGUUCGUCGCGACUUUAAGAGAUUAGAGUUUUCGGUUCGGCCGGACGAAACACAGGUGCUGCAUGGCUGUCGUCAGCUCGUGUCGUGAGAUGUUGGGUUAAGUCCCGCAACGAGCGCAACCCUCACUUUUAGUUGCCAUCAUUAAGUUGGGCA